GGCGUAAAGCGUGGUUAAGGGCUCCUCCAACUAAAGCAGAACUGCCUCCGGGCUGUUAUACGCUCCCGACGGUAAGAAACCCCACCACGAAAGUGGCUUUAACCCGACCCGAACCCACGAAAGCUGGGGAACAAACUGGGAUUAGAUACCCCACUAUGCCCAGUCGUAAACAUAAAUAGGCAAACCACAACACCUAUUCGCCAGGGGACUACAAGCGUUAGCUUCAAACCCAAAGGACUUGGCGGUGCUUUAGACCCACCUAGAGGAGCCUGUCCUAGAACCGAUAACCCCCGUUCAACCUCACCACUUCUCGCCUAGCCCGCCUAUAUACCGCCGUCGUCAGCUUACCCCGUGAGGGCUAUACAGUAAGCUAAAUUGGCACAGCCCAAAACGUCAGGUCGAGGUGUAGCGCACGAAGUGUGCAAGUGAUGGGCUACAUUUUCUGACCCAGAAAACUACGAAAGAAGAUAUGAAAAGAUCUUCCGAAGGAGGAUUUAGCAGUAACUGGGGAGUAGAGCGCCCCAGUGAAA
RNAcentral lists this ribosomal RNA (530 nucleotides) under Hygophum hygomii. Its description in RNAcentral is "partial 12S ribosomal RNA". It matches the Rfam family "Bacterial small subunit ribosomal RNA", at positions 557 to 1367 of the family's 1533-position model. Lineage: Eukaryota; Metazoa; Chordata; Actinopteri; Myctophiformes; Myctophidae. The record is from RNAcentral.